RNAcentral lists this ribosomal RNA (255 nucleotides) under uncultured bacterium. RNAcentral describes it as "partial 16S ribosomal RNA". It matches the Rfam family "Bacterial small subunit ribosomal RNA", at positions 524 to 776 of the family's 1533-position model. The record is from RNAcentral.
UACGUAGGGGGGCGAGCGUUGUCCGGAUUCAUUGGGCGUAAAGAGCUCGUAGGCGGCUUGGUAAGUCGGGUGUGAAACCUCCAGCUCAACCUGGAGACGCCACUCGAUACUGCCAUGGCUAGAGUCCGGUAGGGGCCCACGGAAUUCCUGGUGUAGCGGUGAAAUGCGCAGAGUAUCAGGAGGAACACCGAUGGCGAAGGCAGGUCUCUGGGCCAUUACUGACGCUGAUGCGCGAAAGCCAGGGGAGCAAACGGG